This 528-nucleotide ribosomal RNA is filed under the name Triticum aestivum (bread wheat). RNAcentral's name for it is "partial small subunit ribosomal RNA". Lineage: Eukaryota; Viridiplantae; Streptophyta; Magnoliopsida; Poales; Poaceae. The record is from RNAcentral.
GGAUCUGCAUCAGAUGCAAGGGUUUUGCAAGAUGCACUAGAACAUGGAUUCAAUGUACCGCCUGGAAAAUUUUAUCUUGUAGAUGCGGGUUAUGCAAAUACACCCCAAUUCAUUGCUCCAUACGGAGGAACUAGAUAUCAUUUACAAGAACAAGGAAGAGUUCAGCAAAGGCCACAAUGCUACAAGGAGUUAUUUAACCUUCGACAUGCUCAACUACGAAAUCAUGUCGAAAGAAUUAUUGGCAUACUAAAAGCAAGGUAUCCCAUACUAAAGGCAGCUACAAUGUUUGAUAUUGACACACAAGUUGAUACAGUUGUAGCUUGUUAUGUUUUGCACAAUUUCAUAAUACUACACAAUGGAGAUAUGACAUUGCCUGACAGAGCUACAAUGGAUAUUAAUGAAAGAAAUAUGCAGGAUGUACCAGAUGGAGAUGCCAAAUACAAAAAAGAUGUGAUGAUAUUUAACAACUUGAGACAAGCUGGAAAUGAGAUGCGAGAUGCAAUGGCAAUGCAAAUGUGGGCAGAUUAC